GUUCUCACUUCGGCAGCACAUAUACUAAAAUAGGAAUGACACAGAGAAGAUUAGCACGGCCCCUGUGUGAGGAUAACACGCAAAUUCCUGAGCACUCCAUAUUUUU
This is a small nuclear RNA of Felis catus (domestic cat), 106 nucleotides long. The record is from Rfam. NCBI's taxonomy places the organism in Eukaryota, Metazoa, Chordata, Mammalia, Carnivora, Felidae.